Long non-coding RNA from Mobula hypostoma (lesser devil ray), 2257 nucleotides. RefSeq lists it as uncharacterized. The transcript is spliced from 3 exons. NCBI's taxonomy places the organism in Eukaryota, Metazoa, Chordata, Chondrichthyes, Myliobatiformes, Myliobatidae. The record is from RefSeq and is a predicted model, not a curated record.
UCUAAACUCGCAAUUAGCGAAUCAGCAGUUCGCUUUGAAGGUGGAUUUAUGCACUUUCCCAGAAAGGUACAUCUUAAAUGGUCGUUUAAUAGAAGCCGGGCCUAAACAAGGCAUUGAAUAAAAAUCUGGGAUUUGUAUCGGGUUGCUUUCAGUUUCCCCAAGCCCUAAUCUGACCAUAUCAAUAUAGCUCCUAUAUAUAUUUCUUUUUCUCUUGAUGUUUAGAUAUGUGUAUUUAGUGAAAAAUUGACGCCGCUGUCGAACAUUUUUUACAUAAACGCACAAAACAAUACAAAUAUGGAGGAUUGCAAGAAAGAGCCUGGCGCCAUAUAUAAAACUCAUGAAUAAUGUAUUAUAUUGACAGGCGGUUAUGCUUUGUCAUUGGGAUACCAAACAUCACGUACGUAUUAUUUUAUAUCGAUUGGGCAUAUUCAUAACAACAAAAACACUUCGGUUAUACAAAAGAUCAUAUAAAUGCAAUAACAGAGCUCUCCUGGAGCCUCCAAAUAGUCUCCAAAUUUCAAAUUUCCGUGAAAGAGGGAAAUAGAACACGCACCGAACCUGAAGUCGUGCAGAAAUUGUACCACUGAAUAUUAUACUGAGUUAAAUUGCAUGCUUUAAUUUAGAAAUACAUUUAAGAAAAAUCAGCAACUGUGGCAGAUCAAAUGCACAAAGAAAUCCCAGUCAUUAGCUGACAAAAUGUAAGUCAUAAGCCUUUGAAAUGACCUUUGGCUUGUACAGCAAUAACUCACCACUUAAUGAACAACCAACGGAAGCGCCUUCACUACCUCACAAUACAGCCCAUCACACAACUUCACCGUGGUUUUUCUAUCCCUCUUUAAUCCCACUAAGACGCAGCACCUUACAAACUAGCCUCACCAACUUGUGCCGAUAUAAUGUGAAGUUAGAAGAGGAUCCAAAUCACAGUCGCCAAGGCAUUAGGUCCUGGAUCCAAUGCCUCCCACCAUAAUACAAUGCUGUCUUAAACCAGAUCUUGCGGCUUUACAGACAUUUCGAUACGAAAAGCAGACGGUAUUCCCGAUAGAAAUGGCUUCAGUCUCAGGAACAACUACCAAUAAAAACGGCGUACAGAGGUGUUUUUGCUUUAAAUCUAAAUCGAGAUUUUAUAAUCGAGCAACUAACAAGAAAGUGAUAUUUAUAAACCGGCGAGGCAUUUAAAAUCACAGGAGCCAGUAGCAACUGGGCGCUGGGAAAUACUUCAUUCUGCUUCUGUUCUUAUUUUGUUUGCUCCCUCCUGAAAUUGCUUUGUUGAAUUAUAAUGUUUUUAGUUAUGGAAAAUUAAUUCUCAGUUGCUUUUUAUCGAACUGCUUAAUAUUUCUGUUAAAUGCUAGUAGAAACUAUUUUAACCUCUAAAACAUUUGUCUGUAAUUUAAUAGCAAUAAAAAACAUUUCUAUUGACAGUAAUGCAUGACCUUAUUGCACCUAGCACAGGCUUAACGCAACAUUUAUCUAAAUUACUUUACCCUCUGUGGCUCUAUAUGGUCGUUAUAGAAAUAUUGCUUUGCAAUUACUGCAUUAUAAAUAAUUUAAAAGGAAAUAAAACGGUUACAUCUCACUGUUUAGCUAAAGAAUUACUUUUCCACUAAAACUAUACAAGCAACUUCAAAUCUUUAUUUUCUGAUGAUCGUUCAUACUGUGGGAAUUUGUAAAGAUAAUAAAUAUUUUAUAUGAUAUAUAUUUGUGACUUUGAAACAGCCCCUUUUAUAAUAUUGUUCGACCCCACAAAUAUAAAUAGACCAAUUUAUUACCGCAAGUUAUGCCUUCGCUGAUAAUUUUAUGAGGAACCGAAGAAAAAAGCAACUAAGUGCUAACGCUUGCCACUGUGAGAACUCGGCUCUACGAGGAGUAUAAUCAAACGGGGAUUCGAAGACAACUUCGAACGCAGCAUAUGCUCGGAGAGCAAUAAAACGAAGAGAUUUACAAUCUUCGCCUGGCCUCGGCAGCCUCGCGCCCUUUCAGGAAUUACUGCUGGUGAUUUAUAACAGGAUUGGAAAUUGUUGACCCUCCACACCAUAAUACUUUAUUUCGAUUUAAUGAAAAAGUUGUAAUUAAACCGUUUUCAUUGAUUCUUGUCUGCCCGAUUCUUUGCUGGAUCAGAAUUUAAAGGGUAGAGAAUGCUGAGUUCAAGAGAGUUUAAAAAAACAACUUGGCUUCACAGCCGCAACUUUGUCAUCAGUAAAACAGCGUUGCAUUUGUCAUCGGCGAAUAACUGAAUUAAUAGGUUAUUGUUUUAAUGCAU